UGCAGUCGGACGGGAUCCGUCGGAGAGCUUGCUCGAAGACGGUGAGAGUGGCGCACGGGUGCGUAACGCGUGAGCAACCUACCUCUAUCAGGGGGAUAGCCUCUCGAAAGAGAGAUUAACACCGCAUAACAUAUGUGACCGGCAUCGGUUGGAUAUUAAAUAUUUAUAGGAUAGAGAUGGGCUCGCGUGACAUUAGCUAGUUGGUAGGGUAACGGCUUACCAAGGCGACGAUGUCUAGGGGCUCUGAGAGGAGAAUCCCCCACACUGGUACUGAGACACGGACCAGACUCCUACGGGAGGCAGCAGUAAGGAAUAUUGGUCAAUGGGCGGAAGCCUGAACCAGCCAUGCCGCGUGCAGGAUGACUGCCCUAUGGGUUGUAAACUGCUUUUGUCCAGGAAUAAACCUUUCUACGUGUAGGAAGCUGAAUGUACUGGAAGAAUAAGGAUCGGCUAACUCCGUGCCAGCAGCCGCGGUAAUACGGAGGAUCCGAGCGUUAUCCGGAUUUAUUGGGUUUAAAGGGUGCGUAGGCGGCCUAUUAAGUCAGGGGUGA
Molecule: ribosomal RNA, 551 nt
Filed under: Sphingobacterium sp. 3-46(2012)
Lineage: Bacteria; Pseudomonadati; Bacteroidota; Sphingobacteriia; Sphingobacteriales; Sphingobacteriaceae
Description: bacterial SSU rRNA
Rfam family: Bacterial small subunit ribosomal RNA
Source: RNAcentral